AUUGAACGCUGGCGGCAGGCCUAACACAUGCAAGUCGAGCGGAUGAAGGGAGCUUGCUCCUGGAUUCAGCGGCGGACGGGUGAGUAAUGCCUAGGAAUCUGCCUGGUAGUGGGGGAUAACGUCCGGAAACGGGCGCUAAUACCGCAUACUUCCUGAGGGAGAAAGAGGGGGAUCUUCGGACCUCACGCUAUCAGAUGAGCCUAGGUCGGAUUAGCUAGUUGGUGGGUUAAAGGCCUACCAAGGCGACGAUCCGUAACUGGUCUGAGAGGAUGAUCAGUCACACUAGAACUGAGACACGGUCCAGACUCCUACGGGAGGCAGCAGUGGGGAAUACUGGACAAUGGGCGAAAGCCUGAUCCAGCCAUGCCGCGUGUGUGAAGAAGGUCUUCGGAUUGUAAAGCACUUUAAGUUGGGAGGAAGGGCAGUAAGUUAAUACCUUGCUGUUUUGACGUUACCAACAGAAUAAGCACCGGCUAACUUCGUG
RNAcentral lists this ribosomal RNA (484 nucleotides) under uncultured bacterium. RNAcentral describes it as "partial 16S ribosomal RNA". It matches the Rfam family "Bacterial small subunit ribosomal RNA", at positions 30 to 507 of the family's 1533-position model. The record is from RNAcentral.